CUCGGCGGGCGGCCCCUCCCUGGGGCCGCUGCCUCCCUCGGGGGGUGCCCGCCGGCGUACCAAAACUCUUUUGUAUUUUAGUGGCCUCUCUGAGAAAACAAGCAAAUAAGUUAAAACUUUCAACAACGGAUCUCUUGGUUCUGGCAUCGAUGAAGAACGCAGCGAAAUGCGAUAAGUAAUGUGAAUUGCAGAAUUCAGUGAAUCAUCGAAUCUUUGAACGCACAUUGCGCCCGCCAGUACUCUGGCGGGCAUGCCUGUUCGAGCGUCAUUUCAACCCUCAAGCCCUGCUUGGUGUUGGGGUCCUACGGCUGCCGUAGGCCCUGAAAGCUAGUGGCGGGCUCGCUAUAACUCCGAGCGUAGUAGUAAAAUAUCUCGCUAGGGAGGUGUCGCGGGUUCCGGCCGUGAAAGCCCCGGCGAGUGAAGCGGCAACAGCUCAAAUUUGAAAUCUGGCUUCGGCCCGAGUUGUAAUUUGUAGAGGAUGCUUUUGGUGAGGUGCCUUCUGAGUUCCCUGGAACGGGACGCCAGAGAGGGUGAGAGCCCCGUAUAGUUGGACACCGAGCCUCUGUAAAGCUCCUUCGACGAGUCGAGUAGUUUGGGAAUGCUGCUCAAAAUGGGAGGUAUAUCUCUUCUAAAGCUAAAUACUGGCCAGAGACCGAUAGCGCACAAGUAGAGUGAUCGAAAGAUGAAAAGCACUUUGAAAAGAGGGUUAAAUAGUACGUGAAAUUGUUGAAAGGGAAGCGCUUGUGACCAGACUUGUGCCCGGCUGAUCAUCCAGUGUUCUCACUGGUGCACUCUGCCGGGCUCAGGCCAGCGUCGGUUCUCGCAGGGGGACAAAAGCUUCGGGAACGUAGCUCCUCCGGGAGUGUUAUAGCCCGUUGCUCAAUACCCCUGCGGGGACCGAGGUUCGCGCUCUGCAAGGACGCUGGCAUAAUGGUCAUCAGCGGCCCGUCUUGAAACACGGACCAAGGAGUCGAGGUUUUGCGCGAGUGUUUGGGUGUAAAACCCGCACGCGUAAUGAAAGUGAACGUNNNUGANAGCUUNGNCNCAUCAUCGACCGAUCCUGAUGU
RNAcentral lists this small RNA (1067 nucleotides) under Sordariomycetidae sp. 8 MU-2012. RNAcentral describes it as "eukaryotic LSU rRNA". The stretch from base 317 to 1067 matches the Rfam family "Eukaryotic large subunit ribosomal RNA", at positions 1 to 777 of the family's 3401-position model. Lineage: Eukaryota; Fungi; Ascomycota; Sordariomycetes. The record is from RNAcentral.